GAUGAACGCUGGCGGCGUGCCUAAUACAUGCAAGUCGAGCGAACGGACGAGAAGCUUGCUUCUCUGAUGUUAGCGGCGGACGGGUGAGUAACACGUGGAUAACCUACCUAUAAGACUGGGAUAACUUCGGGAAACCGGAGCUAAUACCGGAUAAUAUUUUGAACCGCAUGGUUCAAAAGUGAAAGACGGUCUUGCUGUCACUUAUAGAUGGAUCCGCGCUGCAUUAGCUAGUUGGUAAGGUAACGGCUUACCAAGGCAACGAUGCAUAGCCGACCUGAGAGGGUGAUCGGCCACACUGGAACUGAGACACGGUCCAGACUCCUACGGGAGGCAGCAGUAGGGAAUCUUCCGCAAUGGGCGAAAGCCUGACGGAGCAACGCCGCGUGAGUGAUGAAGGUCUUCGGAUCGUAAAACUCUGUUAUUAGGGAAGAACAUAUGUGUAAGUAACUGUGCACAUCUUGACGGUACCUAAUCAGAAAGCCACGGCUAACUACGUGCCAGCAGCCGCGGUAAUACGUAGGUGGCAAGCGUUAUCCGGAAUUAUUGGGCGUAAAGCGCGCGUAGGCGGUUUUUUAAGUCUGAUGUGAAAGCCCACGGCUCAACCGUGGAGGGUCAUUGGAAACUGGAAAACUUGAGUGCAGAAGAGGAAAGUGGAAUUCCAUGUGUAGCGGUGAAAUGCGCAGAGAUAUGGAGGAACACCAGUGGCGAAGGCGACUUUCUGGUCUGUAACUGACGCUGAUGUGCGAAAGCGUGGGGAUCAAACAGGAUUAGAUACCCUGGUAGUCCACGCCGUAAACGAUGAGUGCUAAGUGUUAGGGGGUUUCCGCCCCUUAGUGCUGCAGCUAACGCAUUAAGCACUCCGCCUGGGGAGUACGACCGCAAGGUUGAAACUCAAAGGAAUUGACGGGGACCCGCACAAGCGGUGGAGCAUGUGGUUUAAUUCGAAGCAACGCGAAGAACCUUACCAAAUCUUGACAUCCUUUGACAACUCUAGAGAUAGAGCCUUCCCCUUCGGGGGACAAAGUGACAGGUGGUGCAUGGUUGUCGUCAGCUCGUGUCGUGAGAUGUUGGGUUAAGUCCCGUAACGAGCGCAACCCUUAUUGUUAGUUGCCAGCAUUGAGUUGGGCACUCUAGCAAGACUGCCGGUGAUAAACCGGAGGAAGGCGGGGAUGACGUCAAAUCAUCAUGCCCCUUAUGAGCUGGGCUACACACGUGCUACAAUGGAUGGUACAACGAGUGGCGAGACCGCGAGGUUUAGCUAAUCUCCCAAAGCCAUUCUCAGUUCGGAUUGCAGGCUGCAACUCGCCUGCAUGAAGUCGGAAUCGCUAGUAAUCGCGGAUCAGAAUGCCGCGGUGAAUUCGUUCCCGGGUCU
This 1372-nucleotide ribosomal RNA is filed under the name uncultured bacterium. Its description in RNAcentral is "bacterial SSU rRNA". It matches the Rfam family "Bacterial small subunit ribosomal RNA", at positions 28 to 1381 of the family's 1533-position model. The record is from RNAcentral.